Molecule: long non-coding RNA, 829 nt
Organism: Alosa sapidissima (American shad)
Lineage: Eukaryota; Metazoa; Chordata; Actinopteri; Clupeiformes; Clupeidae
Exons: 6
Source: RefSeq, a predicted model, not a curated record
CUCCAGCCCCUAUAUUAAACCUACUGUACAUCUUCCUCAACCUCUGUACCAAAAUCCUUUACACCAAAGAAAACAACGGACACCCCUUCCAACUCAGGCUCAUCAGAUGUUCAACCGUCCUCCCCUCCUGAUAGCAUAACCAGUAGCGCUUCAUCAGACAGCUGCCCAUCACGCUACUCCUCAGGUGUCCAUGUGGCUGCUAGAGUUGCUGCCACUAUCAGUCUGUUUGUGGCUGUGAUCAUAGUUGUGGUCAUCCACAGGAAGAGAUCAGGGGACCCCCAGUUCAAACCCAACACCUUGGCUCCUAGUGUUGGAUCAGCUGGAACCAGCCAGUCCUUGUAGCCUUGAUCUCCUUAUGGGCUCUAUAGACCCAGCUGUUGACAGAGUCUCCAUCACCUGAGUCCACCUCCAUCCCCUGCACAUUAGGAGCUACAGGAUGCCAGGCUGGGGUUUAGGGAGUUAACAGUUUAACUGCUUUAAGUACGGAAAGUCUGAAAACCUCUCUGCCUGCUAACCCCUAUAAGACAUCGUCUUUCGCACAGCAUAGAUAGCUUUGGUUCUGUUUAGAUACUAACAAUAUAUAAUAUGUACACAUUUAAUACUUAUCUCACCUACCUCUAUAUGUAACUACUCAUAUGUCUUUAUAUAAUGGAUUUGUUCACUGUUUUGUUCAUUUGUUCACUGUGUUUUACCUAAAUACAUUUCACAUAUUUUUUUGUAAUUGGACUACUACAUUAUUUGCUCUUUCAUAGUAGUCUGUGAGACAACACACGCAUGUUAAUUUUUUAAAAGUGGAAAUUAAAAAGCAUAUGGCUGAACCUCUUUAUGA